GGGAUAACAGUUGGAAACGACCGCUAAUACCGCAUAAGCCGGAAGGAUCGCAUGAUUCGGCCGGAAAAGAUUUAUCGGUGUGAGAUGGACCCGCGUCUGAUUAGCCAGUUGGCAGGGUAACGGCCUACCAAAGCGACGAUCAGUAGCCGGCCUGAGAGGGUGAACGGCCACAUUGGGACUGAGACACGGCCCAAACUCCUACGGGAGGCAGCAGUGGGGAAUAUUGCACAAUGGGGGAAACCCUGAUGCAGCGACGCCGCGUGAGUGAAGAAGUAUUUCGGUAUGUAAAGCUCUAUCAGCAGGGAAGAAAAUGACGGUACCUGACUAAGAAGCCCCGGCUAACUACGUGCCAGCAGCCGCGGUAAUACGUAGGGGGCAAGCGUUAUCCGGAUUUACUGGGUGUAAAGGGAGCGUAGACGGCCAGACAAGUCAGAAGUGAAAGCCCAGGGCUCAACCCUGGGACUGCUUUUGAAACUGCCGGGCUGGAGUGCAGGAGAGGUAAGCGGAAUUCCUAGUGUAGCGGUGAAAUGCGUAGAUAUUAGGAGGAACACCAGUGGCGAAGGCGGCUUACUGGACUGUAACUGACGUUGAGGCUCGAAAGCGUGGGGAGCAAACAGGAUUAGAUACCCUGGUAGUCCACGCCGUAAAC
This 649-nucleotide ribosomal RNA is filed under the name uncultured bacterium. RNAcentral describes it as "bacterial SSU rRNA". It matches the Rfam family "Bacterial small subunit ribosomal RNA", at positions 140 to 807 of the family's 1533-position model. The record is from RNAcentral.